This 749-nucleotide ribosomal RNA is filed under the name Staphylococcus sp. RNAcentral describes it as "bacterial SSU rRNA". It matches the Rfam family "Bacterial small subunit ribosomal RNA", at positions 90 to 826 of the family's 1533-position model. The record is from RNAcentral. Lineage: Bacteria; Bacillati; Bacillota; Bacilli; Caryophanales; Staphylococcaceae.
CGUUAGCGGCGGACGGGUGAGUAACACGUGGAUAACCUACCUAUAAGACUGGGAUAACUUCGGGAAACCGGAGCUAAUACCGGAUAACAUAUUGAACCGCAUGGUUCAAUAGUGAAAGACGGUUUUGCUGUCACUUAUAGAUGGAUCCGCGCCGCAUUAGCUAGUUGGUAAGGUAACGGCUUACCAAGGCAACGAUGCGUAGCCGACCUGAGAGGGUGAUCGGCCACACUGGAACUGAGACACGGUCCAGACUCCUACGGGAGGCAGCAGUAGGGAAUCUUCCGCAAUGGGCGAAAGCCUGACGGAGCAACGCCGCGUGAGUGAUGAAGGUCUUCGGAUCGUAAAACUCUGUUAUUAGGGAAGAACAAAUGUGUAAGUAACUAUGCACGUCUUGACGGUACCUAAUCAGAAAGCCACGGCUAACUACGUGCCAGCAGCCGCGGUAAUACGUAGGUGGCAAGCGUUAUCCGGAAUUAUUGGGCGUAAAGCGCGCGUAGGCGGUUUUUUAAGUCUGAUGUGAAAGCCCACGGCUCAACCGUGGAGGGUCAUUGGAAACUGGAAAACUUGAGUGCAGAAAAGGAAAGUGGAAUUCCAUGUGUAGCGGUGAAAUGCGCAGAGAUAUGGAGGAACACCAGUGGCGAAAGCGACUUUCUGGUCUGUAACUGACGCUGAUGUGCGAAAGCGUGGGGAUCAAACAGGAUUAGAUACCCUGGUAGUCCACGCCGUAAACGAUGAGUGCUAAGUGUUAG